CACCCAACAGCUAGCCCCCUUCAAAAUACAACAAAAAAUUAUUUAUACCCCCUCAACCCCUUAACCAACACAACAAAUCAUUUUUCCCCCUUAGUAUAGGAGAUAGAAAAGGACAUAUUGGAGCAAUAGACUUAGUACCGCAAGGGAACGCUGAAAGAGAAAUGAAAAAACCCAGUUAAGUAAAACAAAGCAGAGAUUACACCUCGUACCUUUUGCAUCAUGAGUUAGCCAGAAAAACUUGGGCAAAAAGAAUUUUAGUCCAAUUCCCCGAAACUAGAUGAGCUACUCCAAGACAGCCUACAUUAGGGCACACCCGUCUCUGUGGCAAAAGAGUGGGAAGAGCUUUGAGUAGAGGUGACAAACCUACCGAAUCUAGUUAUAGCUGGUUGCCCGAGAACCGAGUCUAAGCUCAGCUUUUUGACUUCUCAACUCAACAAUACACCACAGACAUUCAGAGAAAACAAAAAAGUUAGUCAAAAGGGGUACAGCCCUUUUGACCAAAAAUACAAUUUUUACAGGAGGAUAAAGAUCAUAAUUUUUAAGGAAAUGUGACUAAGUUGGCUUAGAAGCAGCCACCCUUUCAGAAAGCGUUAAAGCUCAAACACUACUCCCCCUAUUAUUCUGAUAACCUCUCUUAACCCCUGUACUAACCUAUCGGGCUUUUCUAUGCAGACAUAGAAGAAAUUAUGCUAAUAUGAGUAAUAAGGGGGCCGACCCCCUCCAAGCACAAGUGUACACCGGAACGAACCCCCACCGAAACUCAACGGACCCAAUCAAAGAGAGCACUGGGCAACUAACCUAGAUACAAGAAAACCGCCCACUACCAUUCCGUUAACCCCACACUGGUGUGCUAAAAAGGAAAGACAACAGAAAAGAGAAGGAACUCGGCAAACAAUAAAAGCCUCGCCUGUUUACCAAAAACAUCGCCUCUUGCUACAACUAAGAAUAAGAGGUCUUGCCUGCCCUGUGACCAUGUGUUUAACGGCCGCGGUAUUUUGACCGUGCAAAGGUAGCGCAAUCACUUGUCCUUUAAAUGUGGACCUGUAUGAAUGGCAUGACGAGGGCUUAACUGUCUCCUCUUUUUAGUCAAUGAACUUGAUCUUCCCGUGCAGAAGCGGGAAUAGGACCAUAAGACGAGAAGACCCUAUGGAGCUUUAGACGCAAAGCAGACCCUGUCAAAGCCCUGAAAUAACAGCACCAAACUAAGGGAGACCUGCUUGAAUGUUUUUGGUUGGGGCGACCGCGGGGUACCAAAAAACCCCCAUGUGGAGUGAAAGAACACUUUUAAAACUAAGAGCCACCACUCUAAGUAGCAAAACUUUUGACCAGUAUAUGAUCCGGCUGCGGCCGAUUAACGAACCGAGUUACCCUAGGGAUAACAGCGCAAUCCUCUUUAAGAGCCCAUAUCGACAAGAGGGUUUACGACCUCGAUGUUGGAUCAGGACAUCCUAAUGGUGCAACCGCUAUUAAGGGUUCGUUUGUUCAACGAUUAAAGUCCUACGUGAUCUGAGUUCAGACCGGAGUAAUCCAGGUCAGUUUCUAUCUAUGAAGCGAUCUUUUCUAGUACGAAAGGACCGAAAAGAAAAGGCCCAUGCUAACAGCAAGCCUCCCUCUCACCUGCUGAAAUCAACUCAAACAGGUAAAAGAGCGCAUAAACAAGUUGAAGAAAAUAACAACAC
This 1679-nucleotide ribosomal RNA is filed under the name Marilyna darwinii (Darwin toadfish). RNAcentral describes it as "16S rRNA". The stretch from base 104 to 1565 matches the Rfam family "Bacterial large subunit ribosomal RNA". Lineage: Eukaryota; Metazoa; Chordata; Actinopteri; Tetraodontiformes; Tetraodontidae. The record is from RNAcentral.